UAUGUGAUCGUCUCUCGCAUAUCAAUAAGCGGAGGAAAAGAAACUAACAAGGAUUCCCCUAGUAACGGCGAGUGAAGCGGGAAGAGCUCAAAUUUGAAAUCUUAAAGGGUCUCCCUUUACGAAUUGUAGUUUAAAGAAGUGUUUUCUGUUGAGGUUUUGGUAAAAGUUCUUUGGAAUAGGACAUCAUAGAGGGUGAGAAUCCCGUAUUUGACCUUUACUUUCAACUUUGUGAUACACUUUCAAAGAGUCGGAUUGUUUGGGAAUGCAGUCCAAAAUGGGUGGUAAAUUUCAUCUAAAGCUAAAUAUUGGCGAGAGACCGAUAGCGAACAAGUACCGUGAGGGAAAGAUGAAAAGAACUUUGAAAAGAGAGUUAAACAGUACGUGAAAUUGUCAAAAGGGAAGCGUUUGACACCAGUGUUGUUUUUCCGAAAAUCAAUUAAAGAACUGUUUAUGCUAAGCUGUUUAGACUUUAUCAGCUAACUGUUUAGUUUUGAGCUUUUCUUUAAUGCACUUUUCAGUUAACAAGUCAACAUCAAUUUCUUUUGCUGUAAAAAAGCUUGAGGAAGGUGGCUUGAGAUUCGUCUUAAGUGUUUAUAGCCUCUUGCCUAUGCAGUCGGAGAGAUUGAGGUCUGCAGCGUAGAUCCUUCGGGGCUAAAUGCAUUUGUGCUAAGUUAUAGCAUUUUAUAGACAACUUGUUGACUAUGAUUUGUCUUGUAGCUUACUCGCUUAUGUUAUUUUACCUACGCUUAGGAUGUUGAGUAGCGACAUACGCAC
This 774-nucleotide ribosomal RNA is filed under the name uncultured Neocallimastigales. RNAcentral describes it as "partial large subunit ribosomal RNA". It matches the Rfam family "Eukaryotic large subunit ribosomal RNA", at positions 24 to 649 of the family's 3401-position model. Lineage: Eukaryota; Fungi; Neocallimastigomycota; Neocallimastigomycetes; Neocallimastigales. The record is from RNAcentral.